Molecule: ribosomal RNA, 254 nt
Filed under: uncultured bacterium
Lineage: Bacteria
Description: partial 16S ribosomal RNA
Rfam family: Bacterial small subunit ribosomal RNA
Source: RNAcentral
UACGUAGGGAGCGAGCGUUGUCCGAAGUUACUGGGCGUAAAGCGCGCGUAGGCGGGCUGUUAAGUGAGAGGUGAAAGGCUGGGGCUCAACCCCAUGCAGUGCCUCUCAUACUGGCGGUCUUGAAUUCGGCAGGGAGAAGUGGAAUGGCUGGUGUAGCGGUGAAAUGCGUAGAUAUCAGGAGGAACACCGGUGGCGAAGGCGGGUCUCUGGGCCGAUACUGACGCUGAGGAGCGAAAGCGUGGGGAGCGAACAGG